Molecule: ribosomal RNA, 842 nt
Filed under: Caloglossa monosticha
Lineage: Eukaryota; Rhodophyta; Florideophyceae; Ceramiales; Delesseriaceae
Description: LSU rRNA
Rfam family: Eukaryotic large subunit ribosomal RNA
Source: RNAcentral
GCGGGUAGCCGACACCACGCCGUCUGGGCGAGUUUUUGCCUCGGAUGAGUAGGAGGACGUGGCGGUCGUGUCGAAGCGUACGGGCAACUGUGCGUGGAACGGCCGCUAGUGCAGAUCUUGGUGUUAGUAGCAAAUAUUCAAAUGAAAACCUUGAAGGGCGAAGCGGGGAAGGGUUCCACGCGUACAUUGAUUGGGUGUGGGUGAGUCGUUCCUAAGCCGUGUGGCAAUAGCUACGUUUAUCGGCGAAAGGGAAGCAGGUUGACAUUCCUGCACACGGAUGUGGAAGCGGUGACGCACUAUUCUAGGGGUAAUGAAGUCGGCUAUGGCACUGGGCAGAGUUGUCUUUUCUGUUUAACCGUUCCCAAACUGGCACUGUGUGGAAUCCGCUUGUCGGGAGAAACACGUGCCGACGGGCAAAGCGCCGGGAUUUUUCCGGCGUCCAGUUCGCUAUUUGACGACCCUUGAAAAAUUACCUGCUGGCACAGACUUGGUUUUUUUCCGAGCGCUGUGUGUGAAAAAAUCCACGCCGUAACGUACCGAUAACCGCAUCAGGUCCCCAAGGUGAACAGCCUCUGCUCGAUAUGAUCAAUGCAGGUAAGGGAAGUCGGCAAAAUAGACCCGUAACUUUGGGAAAAGGGUUGGCUCUAGUGCUGCGUGGGACUGGUUGCUGUGGUGUUCAAACUGAUCCAGUUGUCUUUGCUGCGGAGUGGGCAAAGCUCCCCUCGGGGGGUGGAGCCUGCGCUGAAGUAGAUGUCUGACCGUCGAACGGUGCGACCCGCGGCGACGCCCACGGUAUGCAGCAAACUAGAACUGCAACGGGCAAAGGGAAUCCGACUGUUUAA